GCCUGGAUAGUUUAGUGGUAAAACGAUUCCUUGGUAAGGAAUUGAGUGUGGGUCCGAUUCCCACUCCAGGCU
Molecule: transfer RNA, 72 nt
Filed under: Candidatus Levybacteria bacterium RIFCSPHIGHO2_01_FULL_40_10
Lineage: Bacteria; Candidatus Levyibacteriota
Description: tRNA-Thr
Rfam family: tRNA
About the family: Transfer RNA (tRNA) molecules are approximately 80 nucleotides in length. Their secondary structure includes four short double-helical elements and three loops (D, anti-codon, and T loops).
Source: RNAcentral